UCACAUCCGCUGUUUCUGCUCUGUUGUUUUCUAAAUUGCGCUGCAAGAAUCUUAUCUCUGCGUUCCUCAAUUGGGUAUUUUUCUUGAGACUUUUUUUUUUUUGCUGGGCUGCCUUCGCAAAUUAAAGAAAAACCCAUAAGCAAUGGAAAACAAGAAGCACUUGGGCUCUUCUUCGUCAGCUGCUGAUCUUUUGGGUUCCAAGAAAUCGCCGCCGCCGUCUGGCGCUGGAAUUUUCGCGUCAAUUUUUCCACCGCCCCCGUCGGUUGUGCGUAGGAACUACUCGUGCUCGGAUCUCGUGGGAUGUUUGCAAGAGCAGUCCACAAGGGAUGAAGUUUGGGGCACCAGACAAUUAACUGCAGAGAUUACAGCUGACAAAAAUGAAGGCCCAAAAAGUUGCAUAACCAACAAGGAAAAGAAAUCCAUCUUCCUUGAAAGAGUAGAAACAUCUCCUCUAAGUUCAUCUCUCUAUUACGGUGGACAAGAAGACAUGUACAUCUGUUCUUCGAGCACUAAAAGCUCCGGCGCCUACCCUUUUACCAAGCAAGGAGUGGAAGAUGAUUCAUAUGGAUCCAAUUCAGAGAGCGCUUGUAGAGGGAAUUGGUGGCAAGGGUCGCUUUAUUAUUGAGACUUGACCCCGCCUAGGAUGUGAAUUGUGAAUAUAUUUACCAAGGUAGAGUAAUGGUACCUUUUCCAUGAAUCAUUUCACGCAUCUAUCUUGUUGUUUGGAAAUAGGAAUCCUUCUACUUUUGCAGUAUGUGAGCGGCAGGGGUUAUUAUGUACAACAUCUUAUCGUUCAAAUACAGUGAGUUAUGGAAAGCCUAAAUGUUGAUCUCAAUUGGUUCAACUGGAAUGAUAAACGUGCCUUUUGCACAUGUGCAAUCCUAUAAGAACACUCUCCUACAUUGUCAUAAAAUAUCCGUUCUUGUUAAAAUUUAUCUUGCUGUUGAAUAUGCUAAUUGCUAAGUAAAUAGCAUUUGUGUCAAUCUCCAAGUAUGAUGUGCGUACGUCUUUCUUUCUAUUCAGUAUGCUAGAAAAUACCUUUUAUGUCGAUCUCUUUGAAGUAUGAUGUGCAUGGUUCUAUCUUCCGGUUAUAUAUGCUAAUUCGGCCCCAUUUUGAUUCAGUUGUUUAACCUGAUGUUACUUUCUUGUAUCAAAUUUUGCAGGAAUUCACAUUUUGGCAGCGAUUUAAUUUGGAAUCUCUUAUAGCAUAUGCAGUAUUACGCAUACCUUUAUUGGACAGAACCUAUAAGUUCUUUUUUUCUUUUUUCUUCGUAUAUGGAACUCACGAUGUUACAGUGGGAAAUCCUUGUCAAUUUUUUUCUGAGGAGGUUUCCCUAUGAUUUUUCAUUUCUUACCAAGAUGGUCUACCCAUAAUACUUGUGGCCUUGAUAUUAGGGAUUUCACGUGUAAUUGACCAAUAUUAGUAAAGUUUUCAACUAGAAAUAAUGGAACGAGGAAGGUUCUUAUGUUUCCCAA
Molecule: RNA transcript, 1476 nt
Organism: Rhododendron vialii
Lineage: Eukaryota; Viridiplantae; Streptophyta; Magnoliopsida; Ericales; Ericaceae
Exons: 6
Source: RefSeq, a predicted model, not a curated record